GUACUCGCUUUGGUAGCAUAUAUACUAAAAUUGGAACUAUACAGAGAUUAGCACGGGCCCUGUGCAAAGAUGACACGUAAAAGAUCCCCAAGUGAUU
RNAcentral lists this small nuclear RNA (97 nucleotides) under Canis lupus familiaris (dog). Lineage: Eukaryota; Metazoa; Chordata; Mammalia; Carnivora; Canidae. The record is from RNAcentral. RNAcentral also lists the same sequence under 1 other name.